Long non-coding RNA from Astyanax mexicanus (Mexican tetra), 928 nucleotides. RefSeq lists it as uncharacterized. Lineage: Eukaryota; Metazoa; Chordata; Actinopteri; Characiformes; Acestrorhamphidae. The record is from RefSeq and is a predicted model, not a curated record. The transcript has 2 exons.
CCUUGGCUUCCUGCAAAACAUUAUGACCACCUCCUUAGCAUUAAUACUACAAACUAACAAAUUUGAGAAGUGUAUGGGAGCUCAUUUAUACCCACCAAGGCUUCACCUCUUCACGCCUAACAGCAGGAAAGUCACAGCGUCUCUAGUACCUUCAUACUAUAAAUAUAAACGUUUAAAACACGGAGGAAUUUAAGAAUUCAGAAUGAGGAGUUAUAACCUACCACAAGUCUCAGCCCUGACAUGGAGCAGGAGAAACUCAUAGUACCAGAACUCAUAAGAUAAACUCAAAGAAAAGCAGAACUUUAGCCUAAAGCACGCUUGUGGGAAUUCCUGGAACAUAGAAGAGCAUUCACCCGCCACGACACGCCAAGGAAGGAAGAGGGAGUGGAAACAACAGAGGAUGUGCCCCAGGUAACAGCCACCUGCCCUAAACAGACCGACGCCACCAGACGUCCAGACGGACUCCAGCCACAGCGGAGAGACUGCAGAUCACUCGAGUGCGUCUGUGUGUUUCUGCUGAAUGGUGAAGCUCAUCAGACGCGGCCGAGAGGUGAGAGAAAAUUGGUCCCGGGCUCGAGUCCAGACCCAGCUUUGAAGCCGCGAUGCUGCAAUCAUCUGCAAGCGGGUCAGGAGGUCAGAGCCGAAGCAGAGCAGGGACAGAUCAUUGAUCUGACAGAUGAAAACUUCACAUGCACCCACAGCACACGGCCGAGCCCACAGCCAGCCCACCGUCCACGCAGGGCUCACCCCCGGAGAUUAUCUACAAAGCCCUCUGAUUUAAAACACAAACAGUUCUGAGCAAACACGCUGUUAUAUAAGAGAAAGUUUCACUGAUAUGUUUCUCUUUAAGACACAAACUGCAAGGAUGUCACAUUGUACUUUGCUCUAACAUACUGUAUUUCUUAAAUACAAACCCAAACUGUAACAA